Molecule: RNA transcript, 4529 nt
Organism: Megalobrama amblycephala (Wuchang bream)
Lineage: Eukaryota; Metazoa; Chordata; Actinopteri; Cypriniformes; Xenocyprididae
Gene name: KIAA2013 ortholog
Exons: 3
Source: RefSeq, a predicted model, not a curated record
CUCCGACACUUCCGGUAAUUUUACGGCAGCCUGGUUUCCUUCCACCAACAGAGAUGUCAGCUGGUUGAGAGAUGACAUGUACACAUUGCUACAUAAUACAGCAAACAAACAACGACGAAAUAAACUUUAGCAGACACACGUGAUUACGCGACGCAAACAUUGCUUCGACGCGACAAAGUAAAUCUUGAAGAGUGAACGCGAAAUGGGUGAGCAGAAAUGUGUUGUCUAGUCAGCUGACUAGCCUGAUAACAGCAACUGGAAUUAAUGCAAACUUUUUGCAGAUAGAAGUGGCUCGUUUAACAAAUGUCUGGAGUUGUUUUUGCAUUUAUUUUAACGGAAAAUAAGUUCAAGACCAAGUAUUCGAAAAACACGUUUGCUUUCUGAAUGAGGAAAUAGAGUUUUCCAGCACUGUGUCUGUCCGAAGAAAUUACUAACACUUUUUUUCGCGCGUUUUGCUCUUCAAGAUUAGCUUUAUAACCACUAUGCCUGUCAAAGCUGUUAGCCACUCCCAGCUUUUACUGCUGUCAGGAAGUCACUGAUGCCCUACAUAGUGAUCACCCUAAACUGAAGAAAACAGACGUAGUUUAUGUUUAAACCGUCCAAGAGCAUUUGGAGCAAAAGACAGAUCAUGUGGCUUCAGCAGAGAUUAAAGGGGCUGCCUGGUUUACUUUCAAGCAGCUGGGCCCGCCGUGUUUUGGUUGGAUUACUGCUCUUCCUCAUUUUCUACUGGUACUUGAGCUCAGAUGGGCUCCUGAAGUUUCUAAGCUUAUCCAGGGAGACCGGGGGAGCUGCGGGGGUGUGUUUGCAGACUGAUCUUCACAGGUGGGAGCCGCUGGUUGACAGAGGGGAGGGGGUGGUUCUUACCCCCCAAACCAAAGAAUCAGUUCCGUUUGUGGUCGGUAAUGGACAUUUUUUGGUGGAUGUGGACUCUAACAAACUCUGGAUAGCUUCAUCUUCACAGCCUGGGUCUGCGCCGGUUCACCAAACAGACUACAGCCCGAUUGUGCGGUUGCAGGUGCCAGGAACGCGCUCGGAAGCUCGGGGAAUGAUGCUGUGGUACAGAAAAGGCUCUGUGCUGUCCUCCCGGUGCUUCUUGACAGCUACUUCUCAUGACUGUAUAGUCAUACGCGAGGAAUUUGUUGCGCAUCGCAGCCGACCCAAUGUUUAUAUUCAGAGGAUUCACAUAUCAAACCCUACAGACCAUGUGGUCUCGAUUGACGUGGCCAUGGAGUCACUUUCAUUUAGGAGCACCGUGGAGAUAAUGGAGGACAAAGAAUUUGUGCUCUCCACAGGUAAGGUGCUCACGGAAAAGAAGGACACUGUGUUAGUGGUGGUGGCCACAAAGAAACUGGGCACCAAGAUCCAGGUUCCUCCCAAAUCUGAAUACUCAGAAAGCCUGGUGAGUGUGAUUCACACUUCGGAGCCCACCGAAGUUGGGAAACUGGACGAGACUCUCGGCAAGCUCAGAGAAGGAGUCAAAAGAGAGAUGACGGAUCUCAUGCGAGCUAAUGUGGAAGAAUUCAUGCAAGAGCACCAGCAAGCAUGGGUGGAUCUCUUCAUAUCUGGUGUGGAAAUCAGAAAGAUCACAGACGCCCAUACUCCAUCCAGUCGUACAGUCAACAACACCCUAUACUACAUUCUGUCGACCUCCACAGCACCCAUACUAGAUCAGAGUCUCACAGCAGAAGAGCACGAACGCCUGGAGUCCAGUCUGAAUUACGCCGACCACUGCUUCAGCGGCCACGCCACCAUGCAUGCUGAGAACCUGUGGCCAGAGCGUCUGACAAACGUAGCUCAGAUCCUGCAGCUUGUGAAUCUCUGGAACUUGACUUUCCAGAAAAGAGGAUGCAAAGUACUUGUUGCAGCAGGCACUCAUGGUAUGAUGCAAGGCAUGGUCCUUAGUUUUGGAGGUCUGCAGUUCACAGAAAACCACCUUCAGUUCCAGGCAGACCCAGAUGUUCUUCACAACAGCUACUCUUUGAGGGGUAUCCAUUACAAUAAAGACCUCAUCAACCUGGCCGUAUUGCAGGACGCUGAAGGCAAACCUUUCCUGCAUGUGUCCGUCAAGCCUCAGGAGAAACCCGUGAAGCUGUACGCUUGCGAGGCAGGCUGCAUGAACGAGCCCGUGGAACUGACCUCAGAGCUGCGAGGUCACAUGUUUCCUGUGAUGGUCACCCAGCCCAUCACGCCUCUGCUUUACAUCUCCACUGAUCUUACUCACCUGCAAGACCUGAGACACACGAUGCACGUCAAGGCCAUCUUGGCUCACGAGGACCACAUGGCCAAACAGUACCCAGGCCUGCCCUUCCUCUUCUGGUUCAGUGUGGCAUCCCUCAUCACGCUUUUCCACCUCUUCCUCUUCAAACUCAUCUACAAUGAGUACUGUGGGCCUGGAGCCAAGCCGCUCUUCAGGAGUAAGGUAUAGACGGCGACGUGAAGACAAGCCAUUUUUGGGGGUAGUAAUGGUGGUGUAUGUGAAUCUCCUCUCCUUUUUCCUCUUGCUCUCAUUUUGUGCAAUUCUCAAAUUCUGCCUUGCAAGAUAUUUUUACCUCUGGAAACUAAGUGACAAUAAUUGGUUUGGGUAACCCAUCAAACUUUCAAUCUGCUGUAAUUGGAGGGUCGGGUGUGCUGGAAAUAGUUGUCUGCAAUCUUCAGUUUGGGUGUUCUCUCUCUCUGAACUUUUUGAUGAGCUGAAAGCACCAGUGCUCUAAAGACACUAUUUGGAUGAUGUUACUGUCUGAAGCCUAAUCCAGUGUGCAGAAACAUUAAAUAUGGCUCUAUCUCUGGAUGUCCUCUCAGGAUGUAGCAAUGUAUAUAAGACAUGUUUUUCCGUUUUGCUGUGUGAAUUUAAUAAUGAACAUAAGCUGAUUUUUGUUGAGGAUUAUGUAAUGAUGGUUAAAAUAUGACGACUAUUUAGAAGUGCUAAGUCGUGUGUAAAAUAAUGAUAAACUAUCAUCAAUUAUGAAGGAUCCAAACAAGCUUUGUAUUAAUUCAUUCUUUUAGCUUAUAAACAAGCACAGUAAUACAAUUUUAAUGGGGAAAAAAUCAAAUAUGCAACUCCUAAACAUGUUCAAACCUCCAUUGAUUUUAUGUGAAUUCAACUAAAAUAUUUUGCCUAUUUUUUAAUCAUGAUGAAAUGGAAGUAGCAACAGUACGUUCAUCCCUAACGUACAUCCAAGUUAAAUGGGUUAUCGAAAAAUAAAAUGGGUGGUACUUGGUGGUUCUACUCAUUGGCUGUUGAUUGGAUUUUGAGAUGUGGACGUUGCACUUAAAGUGAUCGUUCACCCAAAAAUGAAAAUCAUUUACUCGCCCUCAAGUUGUUCCAAAGCUGUAUGAAUUUCUUUCUUCUGCUGAACACAAAAGAAGAUACUUUGAAGAAAGUUGGCAAGUUGAUGGGCCCUAUAGAAGUCAUUGGGGCCCAUCAACUUUUUGGUUACCCAUAUUCUUCAAAAUAUCUUCUUUUGUGUUCAGUCGAAGAAAGAAACUCGUAAAGGUUUGGAAUAAUCUGAGGGUUAGUAAAUAAUGACAAUUUUCUUUUUUGGGUGAACUAACCUUUUAAAAAUGAAUGCGAGCUUGCAGUCGAUUGUGUUUGGGUGAGAUUUAAGGGGACAAAAUGAUUGGAGAAGUCGAAUCAUUCACAGUAAGAUCUUAUUAGGAAAUUAAUCUGACACCUGGUUAUAGUAAAAAUACUGGGAAGAUGGAAUAUUGCUUGUAUUUAUUUGAAAGAUCUCUGAGCAUCACUGACAGAGACUAAAGUCUCUUUUCUUUUCUUAAUAAUAUCAGGCCAUCACCGUUGUGCUCAAAUUACAUGCAGAUGAUAUUAGUAUGUCUCUGUGUCCUGUUUGUUGUGUGCAGUCAACAUGGCUUAAGUCUACUGAAUAAUGUCCUAUAAUGUUUAAAAGAAAAUAAAUGUGGAAUUUCUCUGACUUAGUUUGUCAUUCAGCUGAUGCUUUUAUCUUAAGUAACUUUUAGUAACGCUUUUUUAGACAGUCUCUACUCAGAGACACAAUGGUGCUUGUUAAUUGGUGAUGUCUGAAUUCACAGUCUUUCUGCUAACAAUAUGAAAAAAAUAAACCAUGGGCUUCCCCACCCAGUCGCAGGCUGCAUUGAGUUUAAUUGCAAGAAACCUAGACAAUAGGCUGCAUCUUCAUUUGGCAGAUAAUAGCAAAUGUAUCACACAGGUUUGUCUGCUCUGAUAGGCUCUUUUUUUGUUUUUGUUUUUUUGUUCUAACUGCAGGUAUGAACAAUUGCAUUUGUAUACUUGUGCUACUUUGAUGUCUCUGAAAAAAAGGGGGAAGAUGCUCUAUUGAAAAUUGAAACAAUACACUUAAAAGCAACUUAAUAUAUUUAUGUUUGAGACAAGAACAGUUAUAUGGUGUAAAUUAUGCAAAAUUAAACACAUUUACCAAAAAAGUAAUAUGAUCAAGUUGUAAUAAACUGUUCAUCCUGAUUCAGACCUCAAACAAAUGACAUUCACUCAACAUGAUUUUUACUGCUCUUCAGUUUAUUAAAAUAAGCUAAUGCAACAA